Molecule: long non-coding RNA, 749 nt
Organism: Vombatus ursinus (common wombat)
Lineage: Eukaryota; Metazoa; Chordata; Mammalia; Diprotodontia; Vombatidae
Exons: 5
Source: RefSeq, a predicted model, not a curated record
CUCAGUCUCUGGCGAAACUGGACUUUCAAGUCUGUGCAGGUGAAGGUGUGUGCGAGCGCCCGAGAUGGCAGAACAAGAGGUACAGCACAACAUCUGCAAUACCAUGGUGCCUCUCAAGUACAAAUGAAAGAAAUCCUUGCUGGAGACCACACAGAUUUGAAAACAUCAAGACAUUGUAUCUUAAGUUAUCAAAAGCUGGGAAAGAAAUUGAAAAUAAAUCUCCAGUGGCAUUACAAUUGAGAAGAGGAACCUGAGUAAAUUCAGUCCAAAGAGCCCUAGGGGAAAGAAGAAGAAGAAGAAAAGAGCGACCUUUCAUUCAGCACAAUUGAAAUUAGCAAAGAGGGCUUUAUUUACACUGGACAUUAUCAUCCUAAUUAAAAAGGUUCUGAACAAGCUACAACAGCUCCCUGCCCUCUUCUUGAUUCCAGCCCUGUCCAAGACCUUGCUAAAAGUGUGGCCACUGAGGAAGCCAUGAGCCACCUCCUCCAACGGAUCUCUUGUGAAGACAUUUCGUUUUGGUGUUCCUCCCUCUCAUUUUCAUCUUUGACCCAUUCAGGCUGACAAAUUUCAAUUGGAGAAAUCCCAGUUUCAUAGACCUCGGAUCCUAAAGACCACAUCACAAAAUACUGCUUUUGUUAUGGGGGGAGAGGGAGGGGAAGAUGAAAGAAAUUAAGAAGAAAACCUGAGUGCUUCAGAUGGCUGUUUGUUGAUUUUGUGCCCAUGGGCAGGAGGGGCUCAGGCUCUAAGGA